RNAcentral lists this ribosomal RNA (253 nucleotides) under uncultured bacterium. Its description in RNAcentral is "partial 16S ribosomal RNA". It matches the Rfam family "Bacterial small subunit ribosomal RNA", at positions 524 to 776 of the family's 1533-position model. The record is from RNAcentral.
UACGAAGGGGGCUAGCGUUGUUCGGAAUCACUGGGCGUAAAGCGCACGUAGGCGGACUUUUAAGUCAGGGGUGAAAUCCCAAGGCUCAACCUUGGAACUGCCCUUGAUACUGAGAGUCUCGAGUUCGGGAGAGGUGAGUGGAACUCCGAGUGUAGAGGUGAAAUUCGUAGAUAUUCGGAAGAACACCAGUGGCGAAGGCGGCUCACUGGCCCGAUACUGACGCUGAGGUGCGAAAGCGUGGGGAGCAAACAGG